GAUGAACGCUGGCGGCGUGCCUAAUACAUGCAAGUCGAGCGAACAGAUGAGGAGCUUGCUCCUCUGACGUUAGCGGCGGACGGGUGAGUAACACGUGGAUAACCUACCUAUAAGACUGGGAUAACUUCGGGAAACCGGAGCUAAUACCGGAUAAUAUAUUGAACCGCAUGGUUCAAUAGUGAAAGACGGUUUUGCUGUCACUUAUAGAUGGAUCCGCGGCGCAUUAGCUAGUUGGUAAGGUAACGGCUUACCAAGGCAACGAUGCGUAGCCGACCUGAGAGGGUGAUCGGCCACACUGGAACUGAGACACGGUCCAGACUCCUACGGGAGGCAGCAGUAGGGAAUCUUCCGCAAUGGGCGAAAGCCUGACGGAGCAACGCCGCGUGAGUGAUGAAGGUCUUCGGAUCGUAAUACUCUGUUAUUAGGGAAGAACAAAUGUGUAAGUAACUAUGCACGUCUUGACGGUACCUAAUCAGAAAGCCACGGCUAACUACGUG
This 497-nucleotide ribosomal RNA is filed under the name uncultured bacterium. RNAcentral's name for it is "partial 16S ribosomal RNA". It matches the Rfam family "Bacterial small subunit ribosomal RNA", at positions 28 to 507 of the family's 1533-position model. The record is from RNAcentral.